RNAcentral lists this ribosomal RNA (428 nucleotides) under uncultured bacterium. RNAcentral describes it as "bacterial SSU rRNA". It matches the Rfam family "Bacterial small subunit ribosomal RNA", at positions 354 to 796 of the family's 1533-position model. The record is from RNAcentral.
GUGGGGAAUAUUGGGCAAUGGGCGCAAGCCUGACCCAGCAACGCCGCGUGAAGGAAGAAGGCUUUCGGGUUGUAAACUUCUUUGACAGGGGACGAAACAAAUGACGGUACCCUGAAAACAAGCCACGGCUAACUACGUGCCAGCAGCCGCGGUAAUACGUAGGUGGCAAGCGUUAUCCGGAUUUACUGGGUGUAAAGGGAGUGUAGGCGGGAUUACAAGUCAGAUGUGAAAACUAUGGGCUCAACCCAUAGCCUGCAUUUGAAACUGUAGUUCUUGAGUGAUGGAGAGGCAGACGGAAUUCCUCGUGUAGCGGUGAAAUGCGUAGAUAUGAGGAGGAACACCAGUGGCGAAGGCGGUCUGCUGGACAUUAACUGACGCUGAGGCGCGAAAGCGUGGGGAGCAAACAGGAUUAGAAACCCGAGUAGUCC